AUGAGAUACUAAUAAAAUAAUUAUAUAACUUUGUCGAAGUUAAAUUAUAGGUUAAACCCCUUUGUAUCUCC
This 71-nucleotide transfer RNA is filed under the name Tolypeutes matacus. RNAcentral's name for it is "tRNA-Asp". Lineage: Eukaryota; Metazoa; Chordata; Mammalia; Cingulata; Chlamyphoridae. The record is from RNAcentral.